Long non-coding RNA from Cygnus olor (mute swan), 375 nucleotides. RefSeq lists it as uncharacterized. The transcript has 3 exons. The record is from RefSeq and is a predicted model, not a curated record. Lineage: Eukaryota; Metazoa; Chordata; Aves; Anseriformes; Anatidae.
AUUUUACCACAAUGACACCUACAGAACUGUGGAAGCUGUAGCUUGUCCCAAAACUGCACAGUCAGUAAUGGCAAGGGGACCAGGCGUGUAGUGUAGCUGCCAAAAUGCCGCAACAGACAGCAGGCUAUGCGUGUUCACAGCUGCUGUGAGGCAGGCUUUUCCAAUUACAAACCCAGUUCCAGCUGAUCUGCCGGGCAAGCUUUCUUCCUUUAGGUGUAAAGGAAAAGGAGGAAGGGGAAUGUAAAGAAGGCGUAAUGCUCUGCUGCCUCAUGGAGCACACCUCCUACAGAGUCCUAAUCUCCAAGGACAAAAGCUGAGAGCAUCAAGCCAGGUCAAGCUAAGAUGCUUGGCAGUCCUCCUCCAUCAGCCAUCAGA